This is a long non-coding RNA of Haliotis rubra (blacklip abalone), 127 nucleotides long. RefSeq lists it as uncharacterized. The record is from RefSeq and is a predicted model, not a curated record. Lineage: Eukaryota; Metazoa; Mollusca; Gastropoda; Lepetellida; Haliotidae. The transcript is spliced from 3 exons.
AACAUACAGACAAAAAUGGUACUGUUGUGCUGCUACAUGUCAGGACAUUCUGGCAGAAACAUACAGAUAGAAGAUGAUAUGUUGUGCUGCCACAUGUCAGGACAUUCUGGUAGAAACAUACAGACAG